Molecule: ribosomal RNA, 464 nt
Filed under: uncultured bacterium
Lineage: Bacteria
Description: partial 16S ribosomal RNA
Rfam family: Bacterial small subunit ribosomal RNA
Source: RNAcentral
GACGAACGCUGGCGGCGUGCUUAACACAUGCAAGUCGAACGGAAAGGCCCCUUUGUGGUUACUCGAGUGUCGAACGGGUGAGUAACACUUGAGUAACCUGCCCUUGACUUCGGGAUAACUUCAGGAAACUGGGGCUAAUACCGGAUAGGAAUCCUUGCUGCAUGGUGGGGGUUGGAAAGCUUCGGCGGUUUUGGAUGGACUCGCGGCUUAUCAGCUUGUUGGUGGGGUAGUGGCUGACCAAGGCUUUGACGGGUAGCCGGCCUGAGAGGGCGACCGGCCACAUUGGGACUGAGAUACGGCCCAGACUCCUACGGGAGGCAGCAGUGGGGAAUAGUGCACAAUGGGCGGAAGCCUGAUGCAGCAACGCCGCGUGCGGGAUGACGGCCUUCGGGUUGUAAACCGCUUUCAGCAGGGGAGAAGCUUUUGUGACGGUACCUGCAGAAGAAGCACCGGCUAACUACGUG